Molecule: small RNA, 472 nt
Filed under: Cryptococcus neoformans H99
Lineage: Eukaryota; Fungi; Basidiomycota; Tremellomycetes; Tremellales; Cryptococcaceae
Description: Cryptococcus neoformans var. grubii H99 hypothetical RNA
Source: RNAcentral
CUAAAUUGCCCAAAGUCUAAAUAUGAUUGCCGUUGUGAACUGAAAAUCGUGAGUAAUAAUUAAGAACGUGAGUGAUGUUAUUAGAUUGGGGCAUACGCUGCAACGAGUCGUGUUCGCGUUGAUGAAUUCAUUCGAAUGGGUAAGCUUUGGAUACAAGCCGUAAAAAUGGUAUUUUCCUCUUUUAGAGUACUUGUAUCUAAACAUGACGCUCUUCUAGCUUCUUCCAAAGGUCUGCAAUGACUUCUUGCAUUGUAGCCAGUUGCGCAGUCUUGGCUUUAGAAUCCUUUUCCAAAGAUUGUAUCCUAGAUUGUUGCGCACCGUUCGUCGAUCUUAAUUCUUGGAUUGUCGUAUCUCGAUCAGUGAUCUCCUGCCACAAUUGUUGAUAUAUCUGAGGAUCCUGCUGCGUGCAGUACUGGAGAUCGAGGGCUAGUAUGCGAGAAUAUAUAGGAUUAGUUUAUGAAUCGAAUGACCG